Molecule: RNA transcript, 651 nt
Organism: Arabidopsis thaliana (thale cress)
Lineage: Eukaryota; Viridiplantae; Streptophyta; Magnoliopsida; Brassicales; Brassicaceae
Exons: 1
Source: RefSeq
UUAAGAGUUUCUCCAAGUUUGUCAUCACCACCGCAAGGUUUGGUUUUAUCUAAUUUGUUAAGAGUUUCUGAUUGUGUAUUCCAUGAACUUUUUUCCGAUUCAAUGUUUGUUCUUAUCGAAUUCGAACCUCUUUUAUUUUUUGAUUAACAAUCCAAUUGAAUCUUCAUAUUAGGGUUUUAGAUUUUGAAGUCGGGUUUCAAUUUUAAGAUUUUAAAACCAUUGCUUUGUUUCAAAUUAGGGUUUUUUUGUUUUAAGAUUUUCAAAUUAGGGUUUUGAUUUCAAACCUGUUUUAAGAAUUUCGUUUGUUGCAAAGAAGCUUUUUCAAAACUUUUUUUUUUGUUAAAAAUCUUAGCUUUUUUAAAAAAGUUUCAUCUGUUUUAUUCGAAUCUUAGGUGUUUCCAAAGUUUUGUUUUUGGUUUUCUUAAAACCCAAAAGAAAGGGAUGACAACACUUAUGAUUGUUGUAUGUCCGGUUUCUACUUGGGAAAAUUGUCCCUUUAUCGGUCCGGUGUUGCCUAAACAAGCAUGAUCAUGCUUGAAAACAGAGAUAAACGUCCUCUCAAGUAAGGGCUUGUCAAAAGUAUGUAUCUUGCUGAGCUGGGACAGCAUUGAUACAAUAUUCAAUUAUCUGCUUUGCUGAGCUGGGACAGCA